Long non-coding RNA from Tigriopus californicus, 4412 nucleotides. RefSeq lists it as uncharacterized. NCBI's taxonomy places the organism in Eukaryota, Metazoa, Arthropoda, Copepoda, Harpacticoida, Harpacticidae. The transcript is spliced from 2 exons. The record is from RefSeq and is a predicted model, not a curated record.
AUCAACAUCAACUGCCACCAUUUCGGGAUCCUCAUUACCCGUCCCAUUCCAUUCAGGGUCUGAUCUUACCCAAUUACCCGCGGCACUCAAAGUAUGGUGUGGUUGUAUUCGUGCGACUCUGAGCAAUGAGCUCCAUCCAGAAUGAACAUGGAGAUGUUCUUCUAGUUCCCCCAUUACGAUCAAGCACCUCGAUUCCGAGGGGGUCGUCUCGUCAGAGCUCAGAAUGUUGACGAAUCUAGGGAAACCUCGUGGAUGGAUCGUCAACAGAGACAACUGACAAAACCAACGACAUCCAAGUGAAAUAGAAGACCUGCUUCAACGUGGUGUUUGCUCCUACCUUCUUUUAGUUCGAACGUACAUACGUACUUACGUACGUGCAAUAGGACGAGCAUGAAUGAUGGCAAUGGCGUCGUUUGUUCUUGACAAUCUUGACGACAGAUUUUGACAUGUGUGUUCCGCCAGGAGAGACGAACGAACAACACGCUCGGGGUGUCUGUGGUAAGUUUGACUCUCUGACAACCCGACAACCCGACAACGAGGAGGAACAUUCCAAGGCACUAGGAUCCCGGAUCCAGUCAGCUAGCCACAACACACUCAGUACAUGUAUGAACGCUUCUAGAACAGAAAUAUGAGCCACGGAGAAGAUCCUUUCGGAUUGAGGGGCUUAAUUUGUCGGAGCAGUUCAAGGAAUUAGGUAGAGAUGGAUAUAUGGAAAUUUAGCCGUUACUAUUAAACACUAACAUGAGCAGGUUUGCGGCAUUCCAUUCGGUUUUGGGCACAUAUUAUUAUCUUGGUCCUGAAACAAAUGUAAUUUUUUUUCAUGCCAUUUUUUCAGGCUCCUGAAAUCGCCAAUUGAGCUUGCGAAAUGAAGCAUGGGCAUCACUCUUUGUCAAUUUAUUCCUUAUCAAAAUAGGAAAAUGCACGUGUGCCAAACGGUUGGCUGGCUGCAUGCAUCUGACAUGGUUGUAAGUCAAAGUGACAAGUCACAUUUUAAAGAGCAUUUUUGAUAAAAACCUGCCUUUCGAUCUCAUUACUCCAACGAUGACGGAAAAUAACUACCCUGCAGUAUAUAGGACAGAUGUCUUUUCUCUCAAGUUUUUGUCUUUCGAGGCUGGCCCUGCGGGUGCAAAUUGAUCUUGACAGCGAUCCCGAGAUGAUCGAUCCAAUCUGGUUGUCAUUCAUGGUUUCCUCACAGUUCAAGGCAAUUGUCUCGUUCGGAUGCCUCUGGAUUUUUUGCCUUCACUUUGCAUACGAGCAAGGUUUGUCGCACAACAGAUCUUAAAGUGGGAUUAUCUUGUCAUGUUAAUUACGACAAUUUUAUUUACGACAACCGGGCUAGUGAGGUUGAUCAUCAUCAUCAUCAUCAUCUGACAAGCCAAUGUAAGUUGACAAGGAUCCAAGAUGGCGCGCUGAUGAGUGAGAACAAGUUCAAACUACUUGAAAUGCUACAUUUCCAGCGGCGGAAUAACUGGAAUUCUUCACCUUUAAGCCAGGGCCGACCGACUCAAAGACCCUGAGACCACCCACUUUGGCCCAAGGCUUGAAGGUGGUGGUGGUGCUGGUGCGGGUUACUUCACGAACGAAAUGCCCAAGUCGAAAAUGCAAUAUCAUUGAGAAUAGCUUGGACAUUCUCCGGCCUGAUUUAAAGACACUUGACAAGUGCUUGAACCCGGUUAAUUUGAACGACGGCCCAGAACCAUUCCAAGUGUCUCAACCAUGUGAUUUGAGGGUUAAGACAAAAAUCUAGCCUCCUGGAAUUUAAAGUGCAAUAAUCGUCAGUUUGUCACAUAAAGUUGCCUUUAACGGUAACUCUGCGGUGGGUCAUCUAAGGUGAAGACAAUCCUCAGCAUGAGUUGGAUUAUUGCGGAAAAAAAUAACAACCCGUAAAAUCUGCAUGACCCCGACAAGUUACCGACUUGGAUCGAAAGUGACUCAAAAAAAGAGAAAAAGUUUCACGUGCUAAUGCUCGGCUUCAUCUUGGGUGGCAACAAAAUCAGAUGUCCUCGACGUUUUCGAAUCGGAAUAUCAAGUGAGUCUCCUCCAUCUUGAUAUCUCUUCAUUCAGCGCUCCUUCGAGAUAUUUCUCUCCGUGAUCAUAUUCUUUUUUUCUACGAUGUCUUUAAAUGUAAAAGGGACUUUAAAGUCGCUAGCCUUUCAAAAUGUGCCAAAACGUCAUCGUAAAAGGAGCACCUAUGCAAGACAAAGUGAUUUUGUUUUGUCGAUCCAGUUGCAGUUGGAAGUUUUGCAUUGAUAUUAGUUGGAUCAACUUGUUGGGUGCCUCCAUUUCUCCUUGGUGCCUUCUAAUUGACACUAUCAGUGAGUGACAGUCUCAAAUUUAGCCAGAAAUAGUCGUAUCUCAUCUCCAUCCAUCCUCCAUUCACCGCACUCGGCCGGGUCUUUAGUCGCAAUCCCGUGAGUAGAGGCGGAACAAGUCAGGUUUAGGCUAUCGGGUGGGAAUGAGAGAUUGAAUGUGCAAGCGAGAGUGGAUGGAUAGAUGGAUGGUUGGAUGGAGGUCAAAGAACAUGAUGUUGAUAAUGAUGGCGGCCACGGUUCGAUUUUGAGGGGCUCUUUGGCCCCCAUCGUGCCCUGACUGUGGGACGCUUGACACUGGCUUCGGCUACUUUACGAACCCAGAUACCGACCUAGCGAUAAUGUCAGCACAGGGCUAAAUUGGUCGUACCCGCCAAGAUUUAUGGCCAGUCAUCAAUGCCAAAGACAUUCGAUUUGUUUAUGAGACUGAGCACUCGUCAGUCUCUGGGCGAUCGAUCCAAAUGCGAGACGAGAGCGAGUGAGUGACGAGUGAGGAGUGACCCGCUUCUUCCAAAAACCUGGGUGGCUCACCAAAAAUGCACAACUCGGCAGGAACAAAUCUCUCGGCUUUAAAAGGAUGCAUGAAACAAAAACAUCUUGUGUCACCGAUGACUUCACACGACAAGGACAUCGAGCCCACCUAACUGACGGGCCUGUGUUCUCGUGAGCUAUCACACCAUCAAAUAAGAACCAUAAAAGAAAACUAAUUACAGGCCCCAAUUUAGUUUUUGAUACGUUCCUUGUGGCAGCCGUGAAGGAUUGUGUUGGUUGUAUUAUUCAGAGGACAUGAAAUAGAAUUGCGCAUUACCGCUAGGAGGAGUCCAACACAACAUUGAGAGCGAUUGAGCAAUCCGGCUUGACGUCAUCAUGAGCGAACCAUCAAUCAUGUCGAGGCAACAAAGAGCAAAUGAAAUAAUCAGACAAUUUGCAACAAGACAAAUAAAAUUACCUUAAGUCACCAGCCUUUACCUGACGCGGCGGCGGCUCUUGUCAGCUCCGGUGCCACUAGUUCUCACGCUACAAUGACUUGGAUCUCCAAAAAUCAAGCCAUACCUCAUCACAGGCACCACUCUAAACAAUCCCAGGGCAGUGACAAUUGCUUGAUAUUCUUGCGAACAUCGGACUUUAGGACAUCGUUGCUGAGGCUCAGGGAUGACAUCCUGGACAUGGGUUUGACAAACUCGAUUCAAAUUCCUGUUCAUCCCCCGACCACGAGUUCCCGUUGGCGGUUCGUAUUCCCUCAGAAUGUGCAGAUAGACCUCACUUGAGGCCUCACUCUCCAGUGGGUGGUCCAAGCUCAACCACCAACUUCCCUUGGUCCUUCUUAACAGCUACUGGUUCAGCACCGCUAAUAUAAAAGAGUGGCCAAGGAGUGGGUCAACAAUGCCUAUCUAUCGAUUCUUGAAGAAAGGCGAAGUGCCAUCAGCUGAUGUCAAGAACUGGUCCAGCAGGAUUGGCGGUUUGAUUUGCGAGGCAGCAGUCAUGCCAAAAUGGACCUGACGCUGGCGUUUCUGUUCUGCCUUCAUCAUCCGAGGAGUGACGAGUGGGCGUUGGGCUCCGUCCAAGUUUAGAGCUUUUUGGCGCCAAAACACCUCAAGAUGAUCACGAAUAUUUCUGAUCCAAGUUGUAUGGAGGCGGGGGAAAUCAGUCCACCCGAGAUGACACCCCACUCUAUUACGCUUGUUUUGCUUGUCAGAGGGAUGGUUUAAGUGCAAUACUGACGCACAGAGAGAGACUCAACGGAGACUCGCUUCUCGCUCUGAGCCUCGGAGCCUCUGAACGGACGACAUCAAGCAACCACCACCACCACGUCAUUAUUUGCAUGUAAUUCUAGCCUGGCCUUUCGAACACCGUCGUGGUUCCGAGAACAAAGGAAGUUGGGGACGUGGAAUUGAACAAGACAUUGCUUGUCAAGACGUACAUUUCUUCAAUUUGCUCUUUCGCCAACGCUCGUCGAGCUGGCUUGCUUCUCCUCCUCUUGACAAGUGAGCUACCACCCACUUUCACCAGCAACUCGACACGUUAGGGCCAGGAAACCAACAACCAACAAUGAAUGGAUGGAAUGAAACGGCAUGUCGAUAACAUAAAUUGAAACUGCUUCAA